This 482-nucleotide ribosomal RNA is filed under the name uncultured bacterium. RNAcentral's name for it is "partial 16S ribosomal RNA". It matches the Rfam family "Bacterial small subunit ribosomal RNA", at positions 30 to 507 of the family's 1533-position model. The record is from RNAcentral.
AUUGAACGCUGGCGGCAUGCCUUACACAUGCAAGUCGAACGGUAACGGGCCUUCGGGUGCCGACGAGUGGCGCACGGGUGAGUAAUACAUCGGAACGUGCCCGAUCGUGGGGGAUAACGAGGCGAAAGCUUUGCUAAUACCGCAUACGAUCUACGGAUGAAAGCAGGGGACCGCAAGGCCUUGCGCGGACGGAGCGGCCGAUGGCAGAUUAGGUAGUUGGUGGGAUAAAAGCUUACCAAGCCGACGAUCUGUAGCUGGUCUGAGAGGAUGAUCAGCCACACUGGGACUGAGACACGGCCCAGACUCCUACGGGAGGCAGCAGUGGGGAAUUUUGGACAAUGGGCGCAAGCCUGAUCCAGCCAUGCCGCGUGCAGGAUGAAGGCCUUCGGGCUGUAAACUGCUUUUGUACGGAACGAAAAGCCUUCUUUUAAUACAGGAGGGUCAUGACGGUACCGUAAGAAUAAGCACCGGCUAACUACGUG